GACGAACGCUGGCGGCGUGCUUAACACAUGCAAGUCGAACGGAAAGGCCUUUUCGGCGGUACUCGAGUGGCGAACGGGUGAGUAACACGUGGGUGAUCUGCCCUGCACUCUGGGAUAAGCCUUGGAAACUGGGUCUAAUACCGGAUAGGACCGCACUUUAGUGUGUGUGGUGGAAAGUUUUUUCGGUGUAGGAUGAGCCCGCGGCCUAUCAGCUUGUUGGUGGGGUAAUGGCCUACCAAGGCGGCGACGGGUAGCCGGACUGAGAGGUUGGUCGGCCACAUUGGGACUGAGAUACGGCCCAGACUCCUACGGGAGGCAGCAGUGGGGAAUAUUGCACAAUGGGCGCAAGCCUGAUGCAGCGACGCCGCGUGGGGGAUGACGGCCUUCGGGUUGUAAACUCCUUUCGCCAGGGACGAAGCGUUUUGUGACGGUACCUGGAGAAGAAGCACCGGCUAACUACGUG
RNAcentral lists this ribosomal RNA (463 nucleotides) under uncultured bacterium. Its description in RNAcentral is "partial 16S ribosomal RNA". It matches the Rfam family "Bacterial small subunit ribosomal RNA", at positions 28 to 507 of the family's 1533-position model. The record is from RNAcentral.